UUCCGGUUGAUCCCGCCGGAGGUCAUUGCUAUCGGGGUCCGAUUUAGCCAUGCUAGUCGUGCGAGUUUAGACUCGCGGCGUAUAGCUCAGUAACACGUGGCCAAACUACCCUACAGACAGGAACAACCUCGGGAAACUGAGGCUAACACCUGAUACGCGUUGGCUGUUUGAAGACGCCGACGCUCAAACGCUCCGGCGCUGACGGGACCUUCCGGUCCCGUCGCGCAUCGAGGCGCUUUGCGUCUCGAUAGCGCUGUAGGAUGUGGCUGCGGCCGAUUAGGUAGAUGGUGGGGUAACGGCCCACCAUGCCGAUAAUCGGUACGGGUUGUGAGAGCAAGAGCCCGGAGACGGAAUCUGAGACAAGAUUCCGGGCCCUACGGGGCGCAGCAGGCGCGAAACCUUUACACUGCACGCCAGUGCGAUAAGGGGACCCCGAGUGAAAGGGCAUAUCGCCCUUUCUUUUCUGAACCGUAGGGAGGUUCAGGAACAAGAGCUGGGCAAGACCGGUGCCAGCCGCCGCGGUAAUACCGGCAGCUCAAGUGAUGACCGAUUUUAUUGGGCCUAAAGCGUCCGUAGCUGGCCGCGCAAGUCUGUCGGGAAAUCCACCCGCUCAACGGGUGGGCGUCCGGCGGAAACUGUGCGGCUUGGGACAGGAAGGCUCGAGGGGUACGUUCGGGGUAGGAGUGAAAUCCCGUAAUCCUGAACGGACCACCGAUGGCGAAAGCACCUCGAGAGGACUGAUCCGACAGUGAGGGACGAAAGCUGGGGUCUCGAACCGGAUUAGAUACCCGGGUAGUCCCAGCCGUAAACGAUGUUCGCUAGGUGUGACACUCACUACGAGUGAGUGUUGUGCCGCAGGGAAGCCGCUAAGCGAACCGCCUGGGAAGUACGUCCGCAAGGAUGAAACUUAAAGGAAUUGGCGGGGGAGCACUACAACCGGAGGAGCCUGCGGUUUAAUUGGAUUCAACGCCGGG
This 974-nucleotide ribosomal RNA is filed under the name uncultured Halobacteria archaeon. RNAcentral's name for it is "bacterial SSU rRNA". It matches the Rfam family "Archaeal small subunit ribosomal RNA", at positions 1 to 922 of the family's 1478-position model. The record is from RNAcentral. Lineage: Archaea; Methanobacteriati; Methanobacteriota; Halobacteria.